This 254-nucleotide ribosomal RNA is filed under the name uncultured bacterium. RNAcentral describes it as "partial 16S ribosomal RNA". It matches the Rfam family "Bacterial small subunit ribosomal RNA", at positions 524 to 776 of the family's 1533-position model. The record is from RNAcentral.
CACGUAGGGUGCGAGCGUUGUCCGGAAUUAUUGGGCGUAAAGAGCUCGUAGGCGGUGUGUCGCGUCGGCCGUGAAAACCUGCAGCUCAACUGUGGGCUUGCGGUCGAUACGGGCAUCACUGGAGUUCGGCAGGGGAGACUGGAAUUCCUGGUGUAGCGGUGAAAUGCGCAGAUAUCAGGAGGAACACCGGUGGCGAAGGCGGGUCUCUGGGCCGAUACUGACGCUGAGGAGCGAAAGCGUGGAGAGCAAACAGG